Molecule: unclassified non-coding RNA, 263 nt
Filed under: uncultured Thelephoraceae
Lineage: Eukaryota; Fungi; Basidiomycota; Agaricomycetes; Thelephorales; Thelephoraceae
Description: sequence contains ITS1, 5.8S rRNA gene, ITS2
Rfam family: 5.8S ribosomal RNA (bases 213-263)
Source: RNAcentral
GGAAGGAUCAUUACUGAAUUGUCAACAUGGGUUGUUGCUGGUCCUCAAAGGGGGCACGUGCACGCUCUGUUCACACAUCCACUCACACCUGUGCACCCACUGUAGUUCUGUGGCCUGGGGGACCUGUCCCCCUUGCUGUGGUUCUAUGUCUUUACACACACACCGUAACAAAGUCUUAUGGAAUGUAUACCGCGUCUAACGCAUUACAAUACAACUUUCAGCAACGGAUCUCUUGGCUCUCGCAUCGAUGAAGAACGCAGCCA